This 20-nucleotide microRNA is filed under the name Macaca mulatta (Rhesus monkey). RNAcentral's name for it is "mml-miR-609". Its record names the gene mml-miR-609. The record is from miRBase by way of RNAcentral. Lineage: Eukaryota; Metazoa; Chordata; Mammalia; Primates; Cercopithecidae.
AGGGUGUUGCUCUCAUCUCU